GGCGCAUGGAUAUUAUUUUUGCGCUAUUACGCCGUUGAAUUCGGUGGAUUCCAUCCUACUAAAGGUAAAUAUUUAAAAGCAUUGUCCUACUUCCUCUCUGUGUAAGUCUUGAAUUUGUUUUAAAGAAUACUUGAUUAUUUUAUUUCUACAUUGUAUGAAUUUUAUUUAACUAUUUAAUGCAAGCUGAAAGCUGAUGUUAUUAUUUGUCAUCGUGUCUCUCCGUACUUGCUAUGCAUCGUGUAAACCCCCAAACAUUAUACUCGAUCAGGGCCAUUGCAAUAUCAAUCGGGAC
This 292-nucleotide long non-coding RNA is filed under the name Mytilus galloprovincialis (Mediterranean mussel). The record is from RNAcentral. Lineage: Eukaryota; Metazoa; Mollusca; Bivalvia; Mytilida; Mytilidae.